Molecule: small nuclear RNA, 96 nt
Filed under: Sciurus vulgaris (Eurasian red squirrel)
Lineage: Eukaryota; Metazoa; Chordata; Mammalia; Rodentia; Sciuridae
Source: RNAcentral
GUUUGCACACAUACCAAAAUUGGGACAAUAAAGAGGAGAUUAGCAUGACUCCUGUGAAAGGAUGACAUGCAAAUCUGUGAAGCAGUCCAUAUUUUU